GCAGCAGUAGGGAUUCUUCCGCAAUGGACGCAAGUCUGACGGAGCAACGCCGCGUGAGUGAUGAAGGUUUUCGGAUCGUAAAGCUCUGUUGCCCUAGACGAACAGCAAGGCGAGUAACUGCACUUUGUGUGACGGUAUAGGAGAAGAAAGCCCCGGCAAACUACGUGCCAGCAGCCGCGGUAAUACGUAGGGGGCAAGCGUUGUCCGGAAUUAUUGGGCGUAAAGCGCGCGCAGGCGGUUCGUUAAGUUGGGUGUUUAAGCCCGGGGCUCAACCCCGGUUCGCAUCCAAAACUGGCGGACUUGAGUGUAGGAGAGGAAAGUGGAAUUCCACGUGUAGCGGUGAAAUGCGUAGAGAUGUGGAGGAACACCAGUGGCGAAGGCGACUUUCUGGCCUAUAACUGACGCUGAGGCGCGAAAGCGUGGGGAGCAAACAGGAUUAGAUACCCUGGUAGUCCACGCCGUAAACGAUGCAUACUAGGUGUCGGGGAUUCGA
Molecule: ribosomal RNA, 493 nt
Filed under: uncultured bacterium
Lineage: Bacteria
Description: bacterial SSU rRNA
Rfam family: Bacterial small subunit ribosomal RNA
Source: RNAcentral